This 443-nucleotide ribosomal RNA is filed under the name uncultured bacterium. RNAcentral's name for it is "partial 16S ribosomal RNA". It matches the Rfam family "Bacterial small subunit ribosomal RNA", at positions 338 to 795 of the family's 1533-position model. The record is from RNAcentral.
CCUACGGGAGGCAGCAGUGGGGAAUAUUGGGCAAUGGGCGCAAGCCUGACCCAGCAACGCCGCGUGAAGGAAGAAGGCUUUCGGGUUGUAAACUUCUUUUCUGAGGGACGAAGAAAGUGACGGUACCUCAGGAAUAAGCCACGGCUAACUACGUGCCAGCAGCCGCGGUAAUACGUAGGUGGCAAGCGUUAUCCGGAAUUAUUGGGUGGAAAGGGCGGGGAGGCGGGGAAGCAAGUCAGAUGUGAAGACCCGGGGCUCAACCCUGUGCCUGCAUUUGAAACUGUUUUUCUGGAGUGCUGGAGAGGCAAUCGGAAUUCCGUGGGUAGCGGUGAAAUGCGUAGAUAUUCGGAGGAACACCAGUGGCGAAGGCGGAUUGCUGGACAGUAACUGACGCUGAGGCGCGAAAGCGUGGGGAGCAAACAGGAUUAGAUACCCUUGUAGUC